Molecule: ribosomal RNA, 500 nt
Filed under: uncultured bacterium
Lineage: Bacteria
Description: partial 16S ribosomal RNA
Rfam family: Bacterial small subunit ribosomal RNA
Source: RNAcentral
GACGAACGCUGGCGGCGUGCCUAAUACAUGCAAGUCGAGCGGACUUUCAGGAGUGCUUGCCCUCCGGAAGGUUAGCGGCGGACGGGUGAGUAACACGUAGGCAACCUGCCCAUAAGACCGGGAUAACAUUCGGAAACGAAUGCUAAUACCGGAUAGACGGACUUCUCGCAUGAGGGGAUCGGGAAAGGCGGAGCAAUCUGCCGCGUAUGGAUGGGCCUGCGGCGCAUUAGCGGGUUGGUGGGGGAACGGCCUACCAAGGCGGAGAUGCGUAGCCGGCCUGAGAGGGUGAUGAGCCACACUGGAACUUAGACACGGGCCAGACUCCCACGGGGGGGCGAAGGGGGGAAUAUUGGCCAAUGGGCGCAAGUCUGAACGAGCCAACCCGCGUGGGUGAAGAAGGCCCUCGGGUUGUAAAGCCCUUUUGUCCGGGAAGAAAAGGGGAGGGGGAAUACCCCCCUGUCCUGACGGUACCCAAAGAAAAAGCCCCGGCCAACUUCGUG